This 71-nucleotide transfer RNA is filed under the name Podarcis lilfordi (Lilford's wall lizard). RNAcentral's name for it is "tRNA.Ala". The stretch from base 7 to 63 matches the Rfam family "tRNA", at positions 8 to 63 of the family's 71-position model. Rfam says of the family: Transfer RNA (tRNA) molecules are approximately 80 nucleotides in length. Their secondary structure includes four short double-helical elements and three loops (D, anti-codon, and T loops). Lineage: Eukaryota; Metazoa; Chordata; Lepidosauria; Squamata; Lacertidae. The record is from RNAcentral.
GGGCCAUAGCUCAGUGGUACAGCAUCUGCUUUGCAUGCAGAAGGUCCCAGGUUCAAUCCCUGGCAUCUCCA